UACGUAGGGGGCAAGCGUUGUCCGGAAUCAUUGGGCGUAAAGCGCGUGUAGGCGGUCCGAUAAGUCGGUUGUGGAAGUCCAGGGCUCAACCCUGGGAUGCCGACCGAUACUGUCGGACUAGAGUUCGGAAGAGGCGAGUGGAAUUCCCGGUGUAGCGGUGAAAUGCGCAGAUAUCGGGAGGAACACCGGUGGCGAAGGCGGCAUCCUGGACCAAUAUUGACGCUGAGGAGCGAAAGCCAGGGGAGCAAACGGG
RNAcentral lists this ribosomal RNA (253 nucleotides) under uncultured bacterium. Its description in RNAcentral is "partial 16S ribosomal RNA". It matches the Rfam family "Bacterial small subunit ribosomal RNA", at positions 524 to 776 of the family's 1533-position model. The record is from RNAcentral.